RNAcentral lists this ribosomal RNA (912 nucleotides) under uncultured bacterium. RNAcentral's name for it is "bacterial SSU rRNA". It matches the Rfam family "Bacterial small subunit ribosomal RNA", at positions 516 to 1427 of the family's 1533-position model. The record is from RNAcentral.
CGCGGUAAUACGUAGGGGGCAAGCGUUGUCCGGAAUGACUGGGCGUAAAGCGCGCGCAGGCGGUUUUUCACGUCUGGGGUGAAAGCCCGGGGCUCAACCCUGGGAUGGCCUUGGAAACGGGAAGACUUGAGGGUCGGAGAGGUCAGGGGAAUUCCACGUGUAGCGGUGAAAUGCGUAGAGAUGUGGAGGAAUACCAGUGGCGAAGGCGCCUGACUGGACGAAACCUGACGCUGAGGCGCGAAGGCGUGGGGAGCAAACAGGAUUAGAUACCCUGGUAGUCCACGCGGUAAACGAUGAGUGCUAGGUGUCGGAGGGUACCACCUCCGGUGCCGAAGGAAACCCAAUAAGCACUCCGCCUGGGGAGUACGGUCGCAAGACUGAAACUCAAAGGAAUUGACGGGGGCCCGCACAAGCAGUGGAGCAUGUGGUUUAAUUCGAAGCAACGCGAAGAACCUUACCAGGGCUCGACAUCGGUCUGAACGGAGUAGAGAUAUUCCUUCCCUUCGGGGCAGACUAGACAGGUGGUGCAUGGUUGUCGUCAGCUCGUGUCGUGAGAUGUUGGGUUAAGUCCCGCAACGAGCGCAACCCUUGCUCUGUGUUACCAGCGCGUGAUGGCGGGGACUCACAGAGGACUGCCGGUGACAAACCGGAGGAAGGCGGGGAUGACGUCAAAUCAUCAUGCCCCUUAUGUCCUGGGCGACACACGUGCUACAAUGGGCGGUACAACGGGACGCAAGACCGCGAGGUGGAGCCAAACCCAAGAAAGCCGUUCGUAGUUCGGAUUGCAGGCUGCAACUCGCCUGCAUGAAGCCGGAAUUGCUAGUAAUCGCGGAUCAGCAUGCCGCGGUGAAUACGUUCCCGGGCCUUGUACACACCGCCCGUCACACCACGAGAGUGGGUAACACCCGAAGU